UACGAAGGGGACUAGCGUUGUUCGGAAUUACUGGGCGUAAAGCGCACGUAGGCGGCUUUGUUAGUCAGGGGUGAAAUCCCGGGGCUCAACCUCGGAACUGCCUUUGAUACUGCAAGUCUCGAGUCCGAUAGAGGUGGGUGGAAUUCCUGGUGUAGAGGUGAAAUUCGUAGAUAUUAGGAAGAACACCGGUGGCGAAGGCGGCCCACUGGAUCGGUACUGACGCUGAGGUGCGAAAGCGUGGGGAGCAAACAGG
This 253-nucleotide ribosomal RNA is filed under the name uncultured bacterium. RNAcentral's name for it is "partial 16S ribosomal RNA". It matches the Rfam family "Bacterial small subunit ribosomal RNA", at positions 524 to 776 of the family's 1533-position model. The record is from RNAcentral.